CCCAGACUCCUACGGGAGGCAGCAGUGGGGGAUAUUGCACAAUGGGGGGAACCCUGAUGCAGCGACGCCGCGUGGGUGAAGGAGCGUUUCGGCGCGUAAAGCCCUCUCGGCAGGGAAGAAGGAGGACGGUACCUGACUAAGAAGCCCCGGCUAACUACGUGCCAGCAGCCGCGGUAAUACGUAGGGGGCAAGCGUUAUCCGGAUUUACUGGGUGUAAAGGGGGCGCAGACGGCAGCGCAAGCCAGGAGUGAAAGCCCGGGGCCCAACCCCGGGACUGCUCUUGGAACUGCGCGGCUGGAGUGCAGGAGGGGCAGGCGGAAUUCCUGGUGUAGCGGUGAAAUGCGUAGAUAUCAGGAGGAACACCGGUGGCGAAGGCGGCCUGCUGGACUGCAACUGACGUUGAGGCCCGAAAGCGUGGGGAGCAAACAGGAUUAGAUACCCCGGUAU
RNAcentral lists this ribosomal RNA (447 nucleotides) under uncultured bacterium. RNAcentral describes it as "partial 16S ribosomal RNA". It matches the Rfam family "Bacterial small subunit ribosomal RNA", at positions 330 to 793 of the family's 1533-position model. The record is from RNAcentral.